This 111-nucleotide ribosomal RNA is filed under the name uncultured bacterium. RNAcentral's name for it is "partial 16S ribosomal RNA". It matches the Rfam family "Bacterial small subunit ribosomal RNA", at positions 1374 to 1482 of the family's 1533-position model. The record is from RNAcentral.
CCCGGGCUUGUACACACCGCCCGUCACACCACGAAAGUCGGCAACACCCGAAGUCAGUGGCCCAACCCGCAAGGGAGGGAGCUGCCGAAGGUGGGGUUGGUGAUUGGGGUG